RNAcentral lists this ribosomal RNA (421 nucleotides) under uncultured bacterium. RNAcentral's name for it is "bacterial SSU rRNA". It matches the Rfam family "Bacterial small subunit ribosomal RNA", at positions 355 to 774 of the family's 1533-position model. The record is from RNAcentral.
UAAGGAAUAUUGGCCAAUGGACGCAAGUCUGAACCAGCCAUGCCGCGUGAAGGAUGAAGGUCCUCUGGAUUGUAAACUUCUUUUAUCUGGGACGAAAACGGGAUUUUUAUCUCAAUUGACGGUACCAGAGGAAUAAGCACCGGCUAACUCCGUGCCAGCAGCCGCGGUAAUACGUAGGGGGCAAGCGUUGUCCGGAUUUACUGGGUGUAAAGGGCGCGCAGGCGGGAUAAAAAGUCAGUGGUGAAAUCCUACAGCUUAACUGUAGAACUGCCUUUGAUACUUUUAUGCUUGAGUUCGGGAGAGNGAGACGGAAUUCCAGGUGUAGUGGUGAAAUACGUAGAUAUCUGGAAGAACACCAGUUGCGAAGGCGGUCUCUUGGUCCGACACUGACGCUGAGGCGCGAAAGCGUGGGGAGCAAACA